GUUAUGAAAAGGUCACAUAUUACCUUCUCUAAUGUUUUGAUUCCUUAAAAAUUAAUUUCAAGUUUGAACCAACUUAGGGGUUUUAUUGUUUUAGUAAAAGGCUUGAUCAAGAUGGGGAGUCUGGAGCAAGUCUUCUUUCUUCCUCCCCUUCUCAGAAUAUUUUCCAUUCUUUUCCUUUUUUUCCUGUACCCAACCAGCCUAAAUCUGCUUCAAGUUCUACAUGCAUAUAGCCUCAACUAUCAGCCACUAGCCUGAAUAAGGGUUUCUGGUCUGACUUAGCUCAGAUUUGAUUAUACUGGCUUGGUCUGCUCUUGAAGCAGCCCCUAUAAACCCUUUCCGAUGCUCAAAUCAAUCUCUUAAUUGUCUAUAAACAUGCUGUCUCAAUACUCAGCUCUUAUAGAGCCCUCAGCUUACUAAUCGUGACCAGCCUACCACUAAGUGCAGAUUUUUGAUCAUCAAGCUGGUCUGUUGCUCACAUCACUCCAUCCAUUGCUG
This 495-nucleotide long non-coding RNA is filed under the name Phoenix dactylifera (date palm). RNAcentral's name for it is "long non-coding RNA (PDAC_LNC022784)". Lineage: Eukaryota; Viridiplantae; Streptophyta; Magnoliopsida; Arecales; Arecaceae. The record is from RNAcentral.